AUAACACUAGUAAAACACUAGGCAGUUUGAAUUAAUAUUUUCCAUUUGAAAAAAAACCAAUGGAUUGACAGACAUUGAGAGAGCUCAAAAUAACAGCACAGAUCAGGAUAGAAUCUUGGCAUUAGAAGUGGACAUGAACAUCAUCGAAUCCAAUCCUGCCUUAUUGCAGACAAAGACAUGCACGUUCAAAGAAAUUAAAUGCCUCCCCCAAAGUCACAGCUCUAGUACCUAGUUGAGCUGGGACAUGAACACGUAUUUUUCCACUUGUUGACCGGUGUUUGUCUACUGUCAAAAAGAGUUGUAAUUCAACAGGCAGGACCAAUAGUAUAAAACGUCCAUCCUGGUGGUGGAUUUGCCUCAGGUGAAGUUUGCUUAGCCAUUUCAUUCUGGAUCCACCUACUUAUUCCUUCAUUAUUGUUAUUAAUUCAUAUUUAUUGAUUCCUCUCUGUUGGGCAAAGUACUUCACUGCCCAAGCUGGUAUUAUAAGCCAUCUUGGAGAUUAUACACUAAAAAGGACCAAAUGAGAAGAUGUGGCUGUGAUUGAAAACCUGGUUUUCCAGAUUGUCAACAUUCCUCUUAUCUUCUAAAUGAGAUCCCUCAUCAUGGCAAUCAGUUCAAUACCAGGAACAAGACUCUUAGAAGGAUGAGAAGCUGGUUUCUUUUCCAUUCCCUUUCUUGUUUUCAUUGUUUCCUUUCUUUGCAUCCUUUUCCUCCUUUCUUCUUUUGAAGGAUGGAUUAACUAGUUUAUUGAUUUAUUCAUCAAAUAUUUGGUGAGCGACUGCUGGUUGCUAGGCUUAGGCUGAACUCUGGACAACAGAAAGACAGAAAAUGCCAAGUCCCUGUCUUUAAGGGGCUUAUCAUCUACUCUAGGGGAGGGGAGACCCAUGAACGAGGGACCUUCUAGGACCAAGUGGCAACGGUAAUUUUCUGUCUUUUUCACAGCACGACAUACACAGAACAUGAUAAUGUUGUAUGGAAAGUGCCGGGACCCUGGUGGUAAUCUGGACCCCUGGAAGAGGUUAUUUUUGGAUAAAUGCAAAUGAGUGGCAAGUCCUGGCUACCUCAGGUCCCAUACAGCCAGCCAAGCAUUGAGAUGACCAGCUUCUAGCCCUGGCUUGCUGGUUGGGAUGCACUGGAAUAGUCUUGGGAGAGGAGAGGCUUCCUGGAACUGAAUAAGUUGUAAAUUGAUGUAACUUGCAGACAUAGAGAACAGACUUUUGGUUGCCAAGGGAGAGAGGAGAGGGAGGAGUUUGGGGUUAGUGGAUGCAAACUAUUACAUUUAGAAUGGAUAAGCAAUGAGAUCCUACUGUAUAACACAGAGAACAAUAUCCAAUCUCUUACGAGAGACUGUGAUAGAAGAUAAUAUAAGAAAGGGAAUGUAUAUGCAUGCAUGACUGGGUACCUUUGCUGUACAGCAGAAAUUGGCACAACAUUGUAAAUCAAGUAUAGUCUAAUAAAAAAUUUAAAAAUAAAAUAAUUGACAUGGCUUGGUGAGUGAUAGAUAUGUGGGGAAGAAGUCAAGGGUGAUUCCCAAGUGUCUCACCUGAUCACCUGGCUAUAUGAUGGUGCUAUGUACUGAGAUGGCGAAUAUUUCAGGAGGUGGAAAAGAGAAGGAAGAAGCAAUGAAUACCCUUGAAUGAGGCCCUUGAAUGAAGCGCAACCAGGUUCCAACCAUUGUGACUGGAAUCAGAAUGCAGACAGUAGGCUGUCGCCAGAGCUGGGAUGAGUCUGGUCUGGUUUAAACUCUCUUUAAGCCUGAGAAGUUAGGGAAAAAUGGCUGUUUGGGGGUUUCUGCCUUUGCCUCUGAGUCCUACCAUGGCUGGUUUGUUUGUUUUUAUGGUUGCUAAUUAAAGAGUAAAGCUUUAAAUAAGGAGGAAAAAAGUUUUUUUAAGUUUAUAGGGGAGUAGGAUGAAUUUCCUUUUGAUGUUGAUUGGUUUCCCUGGUAUGGAGACUCUGAGAUGGAGAAUUGAAUGUAGAAGAUUUAUUGGAUAUUCUCCUAGGAGAUAAUCUUACAGAGAAGUGAUGAGAGAAGGAGAGGGCAAAGGCCAAAGCAGAUGCGAAAAUACAGUUGCAACUGAGAAGUCAGCCACUUCAACCUGGAGCUCCAGAUGGCACUUCGUAGUACUGAACAUUGAGGCAAGGGGCCUGGCCUUUUUAUGCCCACAUGACCAAGUCAUUUUCUGUUGCUGCCUUUUGGAAGAGGGCAUAACCUUGAAUGAUCAGGACACAGCUGUGAGCAGUUUAAUAUCCUAAGCAGCUGGGGAGAGUGGGAUGGGUAGCCAGCUCUGAGGAAGGGCUCUGGGUAGAGCCCUGGAGUAUCCACCGUUCUGGUAAGAGAAGCUUUCUGAGAGGCAAUCUACAUGUGGUUCUGGAGGUAAGACAAGAUGUCUGGGUUCAAGAGGGGAACUUGGCCUUCACCACUGUGUAGAAGAGAGUUGAGGUCAUGGGUAUGGUAACAGUGAAAAGAGAAGAGCUAGAACAGAUGCUUGGAUGGUAUUAUAACUUACUGGGUAAGGUAAAAAAGGGUACCCUGGACAUGAAGAAAGAGUGUCUAAGGAGGUUGGGAACUCCAGGGAUAUUGGGCGUUGAACAAGGGGAAAAAAGCCAUUUGCAGUGACAUGGCUCAACCUGGAGAUUGUCAUACUGAGUCAAGUAAGUCAGAAAGAGAAGGACAAAUAUAUGAAAUCACUUAUAUGGACUCUAAUAAAAUCAAUACAAAAGAACUUAUUUAUGAAGCAGAAACAAACAUUUCAAAACCAAUCUUAUGGUUCUCUUAGGGGAAACUGCUGGGGAGAGGGAGGAACUGGGACAGUGGGUAUAACAUCUACACCCUGCUGUAUAAAAUAGAUGAUUAAUGAGAACCUACUGUUAAGCACAGAAAAGUCUACUUGAUCAUUUGUAAUAACCUAUAUGAGAAAGAGGAAUGGAGAGAUUUAUAUGUAUGACUGAUUCAUGUUGCUAUCUCCCCGAAACUAAUACAACAUUGUAAGUCAACUGUACUUUAGUAA
Molecule: long non-coding RNA, 3008 nt
Filed under: Sus scrofa (pig)
Lineage: Eukaryota; Metazoa; Chordata; Mammalia; Artiodactyla; Suidae
Description: lncRNA (ENSSSCG00060038763.1)
Source: RNAcentral